This 135-nucleotide small nucleolar RNA is filed under the name Drosophila mojavensis. Its description in RNAcentral is "snoRNA:GI25318". Lineage: Eukaryota; Metazoa; Arthropoda; Insecta; Diptera; Drosophilidae. The record is from RNAcentral.
GGCGCUUUAAUUCACAGUGCAUAUGGAUAAUAGACCAUUGACAUUGUUAUGUACUUAGCGCUAGAUAAAUAUGACCACUGAACCAUUGGUGCCGCUGUAAUUACCUAGCUACACUUCACUGAUUUGUGGUCCACA